Molecule: ribosomal RNA, 270 nt
Filed under: uncultured Eubacteriales bacterium
Lineage: Bacteria; Bacillati; Bacillota; Clostridia; Eubacteriales
Description: uncultured Clostridiales bacterium partial 16S ribosomal RNA
Rfam family: Bacterial small subunit ribosomal RNA
Source: RNAcentral
AAAGAGCUUGCUCUUUCCGGAAUUGAGUGGCAAACGGGUGAGUAACACGUAAACAACCUGCCUUCAGGAUGGGGACAACAGACGGAAACGACUGCUAAUACCGAAUAAGUUCCAAGAGCCGCAUGGCCCUGAUGUCAAAGAUUUAUCGCUGAAAGAUGGCCUCGCGUCUGAUUAGCUAGUUGGUGAGGUAACGGCCCACCAAGGCGACGAUCAGUAGCCGGACUGAGAGGUUGACCGGCCACAUUGGGACUGAGAUACGGCCCAGACUCC